GAGUAGGGGCUGGUCUGGCAUAU
This 23-nucleotide non-coding RNA is filed under the name Cricetulus griseus (Chinese hamster). The record is from RNAcentral. Lineage: Eukaryota; Metazoa; Chordata; Mammalia; Rodentia; Cricetidae.